RNAcentral lists this ribosomal RNA (385 nucleotides) under uncultured bacterium. RNAcentral's name for it is "bacterial SSU rRNA". It matches the Rfam family "Bacterial small subunit ribosomal RNA", at positions 30 to 416 of the family's 1533-position model. The record is from RNAcentral.
AUUGAACGCUAGCGGGAUGCCUUACACAUGCAAGUCGAACGGCAGCGCGGACUUCGGUCUGGCGGCGAGUGGCGAACGGGUGAGUAAUGUAUCGGAACGUGCCCAGUAGCGGGGGACAACCACUCGAAAGAGUGGCUAAUACCGCAUACGCCCUACGGGGAAAGGGGGGAGUCGGCAAGACCUCUCACUAUUGGAGCGGCCGAUAUCGGAUUAGCUAGUUGGUGGGUAAAGGCCUACCAAGGCGACGAUCCGUAGCUGGUUUGAGAGGACGACCAGCCACACUGGGACUGAGACACGGCCCAGACUCCUACGGGAGGCAGCAGUGGGGAAUUUUGGACAAUGGGGGAAACCCUGAUCCAGCCAUUCCGCGUGUGCGAUGAAGGCU